CACACCCUCAAACCAAAUCUUUAUUACGUACCUAGCAAAUUAAGCCAACUGCAAUGAAAGCUGUUUACUUCCUCAUAAGCACUCUUGCCAUAUUGGCAUCUGCAACCUUCCUUGUCUCUGCCUCUGACCCCAGUCCUCUUCAGGACUUCUGUGUAGCACUGAAUGACACCAAAUCUGCUGGUAUGCAUGAAUAUAUACUUGUGUUAAUUAUUUAUAUUCUGCCCUGCAAUUAUUCCCACAUGAAUUAUUUUCAUUAGAUAUUAGUUUUAUGAAGAUCGUUUUUCUGUUAACUAUAGCUUCUUCUCAUGCAUGAAAAAUCUAUUAGUACGUAAUUUUACAUAUGAAUAAUGCUAUUUGUACUGCAUUUACCGGGCAUCUUAGUGAUCAUCUCUCUGAGAUACAUUAAAGUGGUUUCCACUUACGUACGUGGAUUUUACCUCCGAAUAGUUCUAACACUAAAGUUUAAUAUAAAUUUUUUUUGGGUUGUAGAAGCAGUGUUUGUGAAUGGGAAGUUCUGUAAGGACCCAAAGCUUGCCAAUGCAAAUGAUUUCUUCUUUUCUGGCCUCCAAAAUCCAAGAAACACACAAAAUCCGCUUGGUUCAAAUGUGACAGCCGUGAAUGUGGACAACCUACUAGGACUGAACACUCUCGGCAUAUCCUUGGCUCGCAUAGACUUUGCACCAAAUGGCCUAAACCCUCCUCACACUCACCCUCGUGCCACUGAAAUCCUUGUGGUCUUGGAAGGAACACUCUAUGUUGGUUUCGUCACAUCCAACGGUGAUGGCAAUCGCCUAUUCACCAAAGUGUUGAACAAGGGAGAUGUGUUUGUGUUCCCAAUUGGCCUCAUUCACUUCCAACUCAAUGUGGGACACGUCAACGCUGUAGCCUUUGCUGGGCUUAGCAGCCAGAACCCAGGAGUGAUCACCAUAGCCAAAGCAGUGUUUGGCUCCCAGCCUCCCAUCAACCCUGAUGUUCUAGCCAAGGCCUUCCAAGUGGACGACAAUGUGGUUGACAAUCUUCAGAAACAGUUCUGGUACGACAACAAUUAGUAAAAUACAACAAAUAAUUAUAAGGCCAAGGAAAGAACAACCAAUCGAUGUGCUUGGUUGGAUGUAUUAAGUUGGCCAAUAUGUUUUUCACUACGUACCUACAAUAAAUUACUAUGAUGUAAUAUUAAUUGAAUAAGAUUGUUGGAUACUUACCCUCUGGGUUUUGAAAUAACAUAAUUUCAUACUUUAGUUUUGAAAUAACAUUAUGCAUUAAUUCAACAAAGUUAUUAUGACAGCUUAAUAAUACUAAAAUGGAGGAGCCUUGCCAUUUUAACAUUGAUAAAUUUGGCCCAUGCUCUAGGGCAAAUCAAGUAGAAAUUUCUCUCUCUCGAGGACAGCUAUUUGCGUGCAAUUAGUGCAGACAUUAAAUUCAACCGUUGGAUCGAUUUUAAAAGGUUACAUGUGUUAGAAUUCAAAGCUUCUAGUAAUUAGUUUUGAAUAUUUUGGAUGUUUGGGAGGAAGGAAGAAAUCACAGAGAGAGAAUGAAGAAGAGAACGUUGCUCUGAAUAGAAAAAUGGAGAUUACUUUUCAUUUCUACUCCACUAGCCAAUAUAUCGUCAGGAAAGAGAGAGAAGUGAGAUGCUUCUCUAACAGAUUUACAUCAAGAUUGAAUCCUUGCCAUUGCUCCUAUCAUCCUAUGAGAUGCUCACAUUUGUCACAAGCUAUCACUUAAAUCCUAGGCUAGAAACAGAGUCCACUUGGACUAUGAUCCAAUGGCUCACAUUACAAACAUAAAUUAAAACAUAUAAAAUGAAAUUCAAAAAACUUUGUGACUUUGGCUCCAAGGUUUUCAGCUCAAGGGUUACACAUCAACAACAUGUAGAAUCUGGUAAAAGAAAACACAAAUAAACCUAACUGAGACCCAGUGACCCACACAAUCAUCUUCUCUUUCCUCUUUCUCUGCCUUCUUCUAUUUUCCUCUCCUUCUCCUAUCCUCUCUCUUUGGGCAUUCAAAUUGAAAAAUUGAGCUUAAUCGAGCAGAAAAAAAUCGAAAUAACCAAAAAUCAGACCGAGUUAACCAAAAACUGAACUAGACCGGUUUGGUCCGAUUUCAAUUCCAGUAUCUUGUAGUGAAAAAAGGGACCGGGCGAACCGAACAGAUUGUGGUGAAUUUCAGACAACGGUUUUUUUUUUUUUUUUUUUCAUCUUCUCAUAAUCUUCAUAUCUGUUUCACAUUUUCUUCUCCCUUCUCAUCUCUCUCUACUUUCUCACUUUGAAAAUUCAAUAAUCUACGACCGUAACAACUCGGGUUAUUAAAAAUAUAUAUAUAUAUAUAUAUAUAUAUAUUCGACUUACUAAUUUCCAUAAAAAUUAAAUGACACAUUUGUGUGUUUGAAAUAUUACUGGAGGGACUGUUUAAGAGCUACUCAGUCAUGUUGGUAAACAUCAUUUGAAGUUAAGCAGCAUCAGAUUGAAUUCAGGUGUGCCUGCCAAUUAUCUGAAUAACAUCUGUGUUUUAGGAUCAAAAAGAAAACAUAACAAGAAAAAAAAAAAAAAAAAAACACCACCAGCUAACCCCAACGGGAAAAUAAUCAGGAGCAGCGGCUGCUUUGAGCAAGACCAGUUUUUUUUUUAAUCGGUGGACUGACUGUAAAAUUUUAUAUCGAGGCAAAUUGUCACCAUCAAUGUUAAUAUAUAAGGAAACGAAUUUCAUUCUCUUUGUAGAAUGAAUCCAUAUAUAGCAUAAGCAUUGAACAUUUCCAUUGGUUAAAUACCACCUAAUUAAAAAAAAUAAAUAAUUAUCUCCUAACUACUCUUUUUUUUGGUACAACUCCUAAUACCUGGUCUUUCAUCAUCAUAAUUAUAUGAAUAUAUUCUCCCUCAACUGACCUUGUCUUAUAAUUAAACAACCCUAAUAACCCUUUACAAAAGGUAACUUAUUUUAUUGAAACACCAAACAGUAGAGCUGAGUCAAAGUUCUUCAAAAUUCUAUCACAACUGAAUUUUCUUUUUCUAGUGCUAAAAUAUAUGUAGGAAAUUUAUUGUUCAAUAGUUAAACUUAAAGGUGAGAUUUUGUCAAAUACCAAGUCUUGACUUGCCUCUAAAUACCCCUAUCUCAAGGGUAAGAAAAUGACCAAAAUACCCCUAUCUCAAGGGUAAAUUUGUAAUUUCCCUUAAAUAAUGUAAAUAACUUAAAUAAAUGGUUAAAUUUGGAGUCGGGGUGUUACAUAAAUACCACCUAAUUAAAAAAAAAAAUAUAAUUAUCUCCUAACUACUCUUUCUUUUUGGUACAAUUCCUUGCAAUGUUAUCGAAUCGGUUUCCUGUAAUUUUGUUACAAUGGAGAACCCUCCUGCUUCUAAUGGUGAUGAGACCCUGUCAAUUAUGGAUUGCUUUGCAGAAGAAAGCAAGUUUCUUGUGAAUGAUAAUGGCAAAAAUGAGUCUCUAGGCAACAUUGCCAACAUCCAAAUAUAAUUUGCAUUGUUUAUCAGAUUAUCUCUAUCAUCAUAGACUUAUAUAUAUGUGAAAAUGCCCUCCAUUUUCCAGGUUGUGCCAGCACAGGUUUUGUUCACUGGUUAGCUAAAAUAUUGUACUUAAAUUCGUUUUAAUCAUAUGUGGGCUUGCUUAGGAGACUUUCAUGGGGGCCCAAACCUAGCUUCAAAGGAUGGCUCAAGCCCAGAAUAUUUUUUUGAUAUUUUUCCCGAAAAGAUAUAAAGCAGGCUUUAUGAUGUUCCUUGGCCCUCAAACACCAAAGCAUACUAGGAGUUGGUAAGGAGGCAACAACCCACCUCUGCAAGCACAACAUGUCAACUAUAUUGGCUGCACAUAAGUAGAGCACAUACUUUUUGGUCGUCCAUUAGAGUUGUUGAAAUAUCAAGAAGAUACAAGAGCACUUCUCCUCAUUCUAAUCCCUCACACACUCAUUUUAGAUGGGGUGAAUACUUUAGUGUAAGUUACAUUGAUCGGUUGAGCAUGAACACUUGUAUUCAUAUGCAUUUGUUUAAGAGUUUUUCCCAUCAAGAAACUCUCUAACAAUCCUUAUUAUAUUAGGUUAGGUUAAGUUAUUUCAAUCCAUAUAGAAUAGGGAAGUAUCACAAGCCUUGUUUAACUUGUACUACACGUCUGCAAGGCUAUCUGAUUGGCUAUUAGUUAAUUUCUUCUGCGUACUUUUAUCAGUUACCACAUGUGCUGAUGUGUUUGCCAUUUUCAUCUUGGCUUUUUCCAGUCAUAAGUAUGCCGAUUUUUUAUUUGGUUAUGUGAAUCUUGCAAUGCCUUUGGUGUUUAUUUGACUAAGAAGUCUUUUUUUUCCUAUUUGUGUUAUCAUUUUAAAACACUCUCUGUGCAUGUGUUGUAGCUUGCCAAUACAUAUUUGCAAAUGCUGUAACUAAUUAGUGCCUUUAUGCUAUCGGAUGCUUCUUUCAGAUAUGUUUGGUUCUUGUCACUGUUUCCUUUACCAUAGCUGGAGAGUAAAGAAAAACCCUGCUUUAUUUUGCUAGUAGUAAUUGUAUUCUAUUAUCCUCUGCUGAUGAGGAUUUUCUUUCUCUUCCUGCUUUCUUGAUAAUGCUCUCUUGUUUUUCCAAUGAGCAAUGAUAUGUUACUGCUUAUAGUAAUAUCUGACUCUUCUCAACUACAGAAUGUCAUUGCUUGAAGCAUGAGUUUUGAACUAGAUGGUGUAACUUCCAUACUGUUAAUACAUUUUAAUUUUUCUUACAUACAUCUGUAUCUGUUGGCUUCCCUAAGUGUAAUGUGUGCAUAUUAUCCUGCAGGAACUUAAUAAUCUCGAACAUUUGGGCAAUGCUACACCUCAUUUCAAUACAAGCAACAUAUAUAAAGGUCUAGGAGACUUGGAAAACUUGGGUAGAGUUGGUGAAGUUGGAUAUAAUUUUUGCAGUGAGCCUGAUUCUAGGAGCCAUUUUCUGGAGCUAUAUGAUCUCGACCAACCUCAGCAUCCUAAUCUCUUCUUUUAGUUAUGUAAUUUUUAUGGCAAGUUUACUUUGCAUUGAUGGUUACCGAUUCCGGAUUUUAUUUUGAUUUCAACUAUAUUAUCCAAUCAUGUAUCCCUUUAUGUUUCUUAGCUUGUAUUACCUUUGCUGCUUUUGGGCUGUUUAAUGAAUUAUUCACUAUUGACCAAAGGAAAAUUCUAGAAGUUUAAAUUUUACCCUGAGCAUUUCCAGAAACACUACUUUUUUUUUGGGUUGCUAAUUCUUAGUUAAAAUGGCUAGAAAGUUAUUUUGAAUGAAAUAAAAAGAGGGAAGGAUUUUGGCGGAGUUAAAGUGGAUUUAGCAUUUCCAGAAAGACUUACUGUUUUCCAUAAAAAGUAAAUGACAGAUUUGUCUCUCAACCACGUAAAAAGUCCCCAACCAAUUCAAGAAAUAUUACUUGCAAAGGGACUCAGUCGAAUUGGUAAACAUCAUUUGAAGUUAAAGCACCAUCAGUCCAGUCGGAUUGAACUGAGGUCUGCCUGCAACUAUCUGAAUAACAACUGUGUUUUAGGACCAAAAUAAGAGCAAAAAAAAAAAAAAGAAAAAAAAAAGAAACACCAGCAGCUAACCCCAAGUGGGAAAACAGAGAGCAAGACCAGUUUCAAACCAGCUAGAAGGUGAAAAAUGAAACAGAAGAAAAAGUCAUGAACUCAAAUUUCGAGGGUGGAAGGACUGUAAAAUUUUAUAUUGAGGCAAAUUGUCACCAUCAAUGUUAAUAGGAGAAUGAGUUUCAUAAUUCAUUCUCUUUGGCAGAAUGAAUCCAUUCCAUAUAUAGCAUAAGCAUUGAUCAUUUCCAUUGGUUAAAUACCACUGGGUUUAAACUUAUAAUAUUAAGUAGAAGAAAAAAAAGAAGCAGCAAUUAAUUUGAAGUAAAAGAUUCAAACCCUAAACUAUAUGGAUCUGGAAGGAAGAAAAUUAAUAUAAAAUUUUGGUCAAUAUAUACCUUCUAGUUAAACUUAAAGGUGAGAUUUUUUCAAACAUCAAGUCUUGACUUGGUUCUAAAUACUAAGUAUAUAUAUAUAUAUAUAUAUAUAUAUAUAUAUAUAUAUAUAUAUUCAAAUCCUUACCUGCUUCGACAUGGAAAAUCAUAUCCAAGAGUACAAGACCAGUUCAUUCUCCCCAGUCUAUAAAUAGGCUUCUAACCCAUGAAGGAUUUUCAUCUCACACCCUCAAACCAAAUCUUUAUUACGUACCUAGCAAAUUAAGCCAACUGCAAUGAAAGGUGUUUAUUUCCUCAUAAGCACUCUUGCCAUAUUGGCAUCUGCAACUUUCCUUGUCUCUGCCUCUGACCCCAGUCCUCUUCAGGACUUCUGUGUAGCACUCAAUGACACCAAAUCUGCUGGUAUGCAUUAAUAUAUACUUGUGUUAAUUAUUUAUAUUCUGCCCUGCAAUUAUUCCCACAUGAAUUAUUUUCAUUAGAUAUUAGUUUUAUGAAGAUCGUUUUUCUGUUAACUAUAGCUUCUUCUCAUGCAUGAAAAAUCUAUUAGUACGUAAUUUUACAUAUGAAUAAUGCUAUUUGCACUGCAUUUACUGGGCAUCUUAAUGAUCAUCUCUCUGAUAUACAUUAAAGUGGUUUCCACUUACGUACGUGGAUUUUACCUCCGAAUAGCUCUAACACUAAAGUUUAAUAUAAAUUUUUUUUGGGUUGUAGAAGCAGUGUUUGUGAAUGGGAAGUUCUGUAAGGACCCAAAGCUUGCCAAUGCAAAUGAUUUCUUCUUUUCUGGCCUCCAAAAUCCAAGAAACACACAAAAUCCGCUUGGUUCAAAUGUGACAGCCGUGAAUGUGGACAACCUACUAGGACUGAACACUCUCGGCAUAUCCUUGGCUCGCAUAGACUUUGCACCAAAUGGCCUAAACCCUCCUCACACUCACCCUCGUGCCACUGAAAUCCUUGUGGUCUUGGAAGGAACACUCUAUGUUGGUUUCGUCACAUCCAACGGUGAUGGCAAUCGCCUAUUCACCAAAGUGUUGAACAAGGGAGAUGUGUUUGUGUUCCCAAUUGGCCUCAUUCACUUCCAACUCAAUGUGGGACACGUCAACGCUGUAGCCUUCGCUGGGCUUAGCAGCCAGAACCCAGGAGUGAUCACCAUAGCCAAAGCAGUGUUUGGCUCCCAGCCUCCCAUCAACCCUGAUGUUCUAGCCAAGGCCUUCCAAGUGGACGACAAUGUGGUUGACAAUCUUCAGAAACAGUUCUGGUACGACAACAAUUAGUAAAAUACAACAAUAAUUAUAUGCGAAAAGCAUAAAAGGCCAAGGAAAGAACAACCAAUCGAUGUGCUUGUUUGGAUGUAUUAAGUUGGCCAAUAUGUUUUUAACUACGUACCUACAAUAAAUUACUAUGAUGUAAUAUUAAUUGAAUAAGAUUGUUGGUUUGCAUUACUUACCCUCUGGGUUUUGAAAUAACAUAAUUUCAUACUGUGGUUUUGAAAUAAAAUUAUGCAUUAAUUCAACAAAGAUAUUAUGACAACUUAAUAAUACUAAAAUGGAGGAGCCUUGCCAUUUUAACAUUGAUAAGUUUGGCCUAUGCUCUAGGGCAAAUCAAGUAGAAAUUUCUCUCUCUCGAGGACAGCUAUUUGCGUGCAAUUAGUGCAGACAUUAAAUUCAACCGUUGGAUCGAUUUUAAAAGGUUACAUGUAGAAUCUGGUAAAAGAAAACACAAAUUCACCUGACUGAGACCCAUUGACCCACACAAUCAUCUUCUCUUUCCUCUUUCUCUGGGCAUUCAAACUGAAAAAUCGAGAUGAAUUGAGCAGAAAAAGAAUCGGAAUAACCAAAAACCAGACUGAGUUAACCAAAAACUGAACUAGACCGGUUUGGUCCGAUUUCAAUUCCAGUAUCUUGUAGUGAAAAAAGGGACCGGGCCGAACCAGACAGAUUGUGGUGGAUUUCAGACAACGUUCUUUUUCUUUUUUUCAUCUUCUCAUAAUCUCCGUAUCUGUUUCACAUUUUCUUCUCCCUUCUCAUCUCUCUCUACUUUCUCACUUUGAAAAUUCUAUAAUCUACAACCAUAAGAACUUACUGAUUUCCAUAAAAAUUAAAUGACACAUUUGUCUGUUUGAAAUAUUACUGAAGGGACUGUUUAAAAGCUACUCAGUCAUGUUGGUAAACAUAAUUUGAAGUUAAGCAGCAUCAGAUUGAAUUCAGGUGUGCCUGCCAAUUAUCUGAAUAACAUCUGUGUUUUAGGACCAAAAAGAAAACAUAACAUGAAAAAAAAAAAAAAAAAAAAAAAAACACCACCAGCUAACCCCAACGGGAAAAUAAUCAGGAGCAGCUGCUGCUUGGAGAAGACCAGUUUUUUUUUCUUUUUUCUAUGAACUGGGGGGUGUAAAACCCCAAGAAAGAGCAACUACUCACUACAGAGACCAACCGAGUCCUAGUGACACCUAGCAAAUCAUGAACAAGGCUAGAGCCAAUCCAACUCGGAGCCAUAUCAAGAAAACAAACACCUAGGUCCAGACUGUAGCUCCGCUGAGCAAUACAAUCAGCAACCACAUUUCUUUCUCUAUAAACAUGCUGAAGAGCCCAGGUGCCAAACUUUCCCAUAAGCUCCCAGCAACUUGAAACCAGAGACACCACAGGAUGUGAACCAAGAGCAGUAGAAUUCUGCAUCAACUUAAUAGCCACAGCAGAAUCCAUUUUAGCAAUACCACUUUCAACCAGCUAGAAGGUGAAAAAAUGAAAAAGAAGAAAAAGUCAUGCACUCAACGUUAAUUGGUGGACUGACUGUAAAAUUUUAUAUCGAGGCAAAUUGUCACCAUCAAUGUUAAUAUAUAAGGAAAUGAAUUUCAUUCUCUUUGUAGAAUGAAUCCAUAUAUAGCAUAAGCAUUGAACAUUUCCAUUGGUUAAAUACCACCUAAUUAAAAUAUAUAUAUAUAUAUAUAUAUAUAAUUAUCUCCUAACUACUCUUUCUUUUUGGUAUAACUCCUAAUACCUGGUCUUUCAUCAUCAUAAUUAUAUGAAUAUAUUCUCCCUCAACUGACCUUGUCUUAUAAUUAAACAACCCUAAUAACCCUUUACAAAAGGUAACUUAUUUUAUUGAAACACCAAACAGUAGAGCUGAGUCAAAGUUCUUCAAAAUUCUAUCACAACUGAAUUUUCUUUUUCUAGUGCUAAAAUAUAUGUAGGAAAUUUAUUGUUCAAUAGUUAAACUUAAAGGUGAGAUUUUGUCAAAUACCAAGUCUUGACUUGCCUCUAAAUACUACAAUAUUCAAAUCUUUACCUGCUUCGACAAGGAAAAUCAUAUCCAAGAGUACAAGACCAGUUCAUUCUCUCCAGUCUAUAAAUAGGCUUCUAACCCAUGAAGGAUUUUCAUCCCACACCCUCAAACCAAAACUCUCUACACACGAAGAAAAAACAGUAAAAGAAAGUUCUGAGGCAACCUAGCUCUAAUUAAGCCAACUGCAAUGAAAGGUGUUCAUUUCCUCAUAAGCACUCUUGCCAUAUUGGCAUCUGCAACCUUCCUUGUCUCUGCCUCUGACCCCAGUCCUCUUCAGGAUUUCUGUGUAGCACUUAAUGACAACAAAUCUGCUGGUAUGCUUUAAUUAUAUUCAUUAUAUUCUGGCAUGCAAUUAUUUCCACAUGAAUAAUUUUCUUCCUAAGGCAUUAGGAAUAUUAUGAAUAUUGUUUUUCUGUUAACUAUUUGCAUUUGCAUGGCUUCUCAUGCAUGAACAAUAUAUAUAUAUAUAUAUAUAUAUAUAUUGUCCCUCACACAUGUAUGUGCUAUUUGUACUAUAUUUACCGACCAUCUUACUAAUCACCUCUCUAACAUAUCAUGUGGGUUCCGUUUUGCUUAGGUGGAUAUUUCGGUGCAAACGCAGUGUUUGUGAAUGGGAAAUUCUGCAAGGACCCAAAGCUUGUCAAUGCAAAUGAUUUCUUCUUUUCUGGCCUCCAAAACCCAAGAAACACACAAAAUCCGCUUGGUUCAAAUGUGACAACUGUGAAUGUGGACCAAAUAGCGGGGUUGAACACUCUCGGCAUAUCCCUGACUCGCAUAGACUUUGCACCAAAUGGCCUAAACCCUCCUCACACUCACCCUCGUGCCUCCGAAUUUCUUGUGGUCUUGGAAGGAACACUCUAUGUUGGUUUCGUCACAUCCAACGGUGAUGGCAAUCGCCUAUUCACCAAAGUGUUGAACAAGGGGGAUGUGUUUGUGUUCCCAAUCGGCCUCAUUCACUUCCAACUCAAUGUGGGACACGUCAACGCUGUAGCCUUCGCUGGGCUUAGCAGCCAGAACCCAGGAGUGAUCACCAUAGCCAAUGCAGUGUUUGGCUCCAAGCCUCCCAUCAACCCUGAUGUUCUAGCCAAGGCCUUCCAAGUGGACGACAAUGUGGUUGACUAUCUUCAGAAACAGUUGUGGUACGACAACAAUUAGUAAAAUACAACAAUAAUCAUAUGCGAAAAAGCAUAAAAGGCCAAGGAAAGAACAACCAAUCGAUGUGCUUGUUUGGAUGUAUUAAGUUGGCCAAUAUGUUUUUUCACUACGUACCUACAACAAAUUACUAUGAUGUAAUAUUAAUUGAAUAAGAUUGAAAUAACAUAAUUUCAUACUUACCCUUUGGCAGCGGCGGACUUAGGAAUUUUUCAGCGGAGGUGCAAUUCUUAAAAGCUAAAAGCUCAAAAAAAAAAAAGAAAAAAAAAAGAAGAUAAUACCUCAAAUAGCGUGUCACAUAGUCUAUUCCCCCUUGAGUUUGCUAUUGAGCUUACUAAUACAGAGAGUUAAAUAAGAAAAAAGUAUUUAUUAAAAAAAGAAAAAAUGCUCAAGAAAAAAUAUAUAUGCACCAAACUUACUUUGUAUUGGCGUACUCAAGAAGAAGAAAAAAACACAAGACUCUUGUGAUGCACACACACUUUGGGUGAUGUUAAAUUGGUUUUUCAUAAAGAGAAUUCUCAAUCCCUCUUAAAUAAGGAAUUCCCAAAACCCAAUUGAAUAAAGAGAAGUUCCAAUUAAAACCCAAUUAUCUAGGAAUUAUAUAAGCCUUUUAGAAGCCCACGAAUGGCCCAGUAGUUUCCCCCUUUUUUUUUAUAUCUUUUUUUUUUAAUUUUUAAAACCCUUAUUUAAAUUGGCUUAUCCAUGAUAGCCCACGAAUGGCCAGGUUUUUUUAAAAAAAACCCUUAUCCACGAAUGGCCAGUUUUUUAAAUAAAAAAAAUUAAAAAAUUAAAAAAAAAAGUAGCGCCUGGUCCAAAACGACGUCGUUUUGGCCAGGCAGUUAAAAAAAAAAAAAAAAAAAAAAGAGGUCGCGCGCAGCACAGCAGCCCUUCACUUGAGCAUUUCAUCGAACAGCUUCCGUGCAUGAGCAGAGGUGCAACUUCAGUAGCUUCUAUGGAGUUUUCCGGUGACCGGAGGCCUUGCGCCUGCACAAGUCCGCCACUGCCCUUUGGGUUUUGAAAUAAUAUAAUUUCAUAUUGUAGUUUUGAAAUAACAUUAUGCAUUAUUUCAACAAACAUAUUAUGACAACUUAAUAAUACUAAAAUGGAGGAGCCUUGCCAUUUUAACAUUGAUUAGUUUGGCCCAUGCUCUAGGGCAAAUCAGGCCGAAAAUUUUCUCUCUUGAGGACAGCUAGUUGCGUGCGAACAUCAAAUUCAACCGUUGGGUCGAUAUUGAUGGUUGAGAUUAAAACAUGGGUUUUAAAAUGUUACAUGUAGAAUAUGAUAAAAGAAAACACAAAUCCAAGUGGGAUGGUAACGGGUGGGUUAGGAGUCAGGUAUCCCCGUCCUUACUCUCCAUUCUCACCCCUGUCUCUGUUCCCAUCCCCGAUAUGAAAUUUCGGGGAAUCCCCGUUCCCAUCCCUGUCGGGGAAUGGUAUCCCAAACCCAGCCUAAAUCCUUUUCGUUUUGUUUUUCUUUUUUUAAAUUAUCCAUAUUGUAACACUUAAAUUUAACCUUAAACUAUUAUUCAACUCAGUUACAUUCAAUUGAACUAUACAAUUUCACUCAACUACUCAAAAUCAUCUCAAUUUAAUUUGACAAAACUAAUAAAAUCAUAUAAUAAAAAACAUAUGUCAAAAGUUUCACCAUCUUACAAAGUUUAGGGUAACUUUUUAAAUGUUAUAUUAUAUAUUUAGUAAUUAAAAACGUGAUCAAAGUUCUUUUAUACAUAAAUAUUUUCUGGAUGAGCUUUUAAUUUAGUUCACGUAAUUAAAUCUUCCCUUUGGAAAUGGAUAAACCAUUUAUGUGUAAACUAGCUGACAUGAAUGAAAGUUCAUGUCAAUUUCAUCACUUAAUUAUUUAAGGUAGUUUUUUAAUUGUCAUAUUAUAUAAUAUAGGCUUAUUUACUGUAGUACCCCUUGAAACUUCGGUCAAAUCUUACUUUACCCCCCUAACCAUUCAAAAGACCGUAAAAAAUGCUGACGUGGCAGGGUCAUUAUGGUAAAAACACCCAUGGUGGCCAAUUGCUUAGCAUAGUUAGCAUCCUACGUGACACAGUAGACCCCACAUGCUUUUAAAAUCCAAAUCAAAGUAGAUCACUUUGGAUAUUUGGCCAAAAAAAGAAGCUUCUCAGUCGAAAUAAUUUGGGAAAUAGGUUUUAGAGUGUAUGAUCGGAGAGAGAGAGAGAGAGAGAGAGAGAGAGAGAGAGAGUGUGUGUGUGUGUGUGUGUGUGUAACGACUCAGUCCUAAAUAAAUUAGUGAAUAUUAAUUUAUUGAGAGAAAAUACCAUUGUGCCCCUAAAAUAUUUUAUUAGGAUUAAAGUUGACUACACAUGGUGGGCUCGAAUCGGAGUUGUAAUGAGAGAGAUACGAUCAAAAUACCCUUAGUGGCAUAAUCGUAAUUUUGGCGAAAGGGUUGAUAAAAAUCUGAUUUCUCUCUCUCUCUCUCUCUCUCUCUCUCUCUCUCUCUCUCUCUCUCUCUCCCGCGAGCAGCCCUUCCUUUUUCGUUUUUUUUCCCAGCCGUGGCUUCCAAGACCCACCAUAGCCACCACCGGCCACCACUUGGGGCGGCACUAGUCCCAAAAGGACCGUCGUGAGUUCCUCUUCCAGUCCCACCUGGUCUUCGUCGCCAACCACCAGCACAGUCGCCGGAAUCUACAGAAAUCGCGCCGAUUUUUUCAAAAAUUCAAACCGCUCAUUCUCUCUCAAUUCCCCACCAAAUUUGAUGAGUGAGGUAUGGAUAUCUACCUAUUUUCCAUGCUCUAGCUGAUGGUUGGGUAGGAUUUCUUUAAUUUUGAGCCUAGGUCAGUCGAUUUUCAAUUUAGGGUUCGGCCGAUUUUGCAUUUCCGAUUCUGGCCACUUCCGGUCACUUUUUGAGGUAGGCCCGAACAAAAGUGACUCCAAAUAGGGUGUUAUACCUAGGGUAGAAGUCUUGGCCCGAGAUGUUGAGAUUUUUCGGUGAUGUGUAAUCGCUUUGGGCACCUACGCGCUGCCGGCUCCUGGGGCGGAGCGUGGGCACUGUAGAAAAAGGGCACUAUAUCCCGAUGUAAUCUCCUGGUCCUCACGAGCACGUAGGUGUGCUUGGAUUUCAAUUUGGAUGUUGUUUGACUAUCGAACAGAUUUCGCAUAUUGUGCGUUAUCCGGGUUCGAUAGGUUUGAACCGUUGGAUAGUCUUGAAUUUAAUAUAGGUUAAUCUAGGCAUUUGUAGAAUCGUGUAGGAGUUCACGGGUCAUGAAUCGGAGCCCCGGAUGUUCCGAUUUAAUAAAUUAAAGUUUAUGUUUUAUAAUAACUGUCCGAUUGUGCGAUCGUGAGCAAUCCGACAGUCCGAUCUGGACCAAACUUGCAGGACGUUUAUCCUAAACCUUGUAGAACCCAUAGGAACUUUCAGAUCAUAAUUUGGAGUUCGUAGGCCCCAUGGGCCCAUUUGACCGAGUAUGGGGUAGUUUGACCAUUGGUUGACCGUGAGUCUUCCAAGAUAGUUUUACCUUCCUAGAAGGAUUAUAAUGACCCUAAUGACUGGUCUUGAGCGUUGUUGAGCCAUGUUGACUAGGUUGAGAUUUUUAGAGUGUUUAUUAUUAUCGUAGGAAACUCUUGGCUAUUUUUUAAUAAUUGAAAUUAUGAAAUUUAUGUUUAUGUGCAUGAUCGUUGGUCUAAAAAUAAUAUUAUUUUCCUGAUUAAAUUACGUUGCAGUCUACUAUAGACUGGUAUCACUAAAGUGGGAAUACCUCUAGUAUUAGUUUAGAUAAUUGAGAGUAUAUCAGUUUGAAGUGCUAUACGCACUACCCUAAAUAUCACCCUGUGAUUGUUAGGUCCCACGUGGCGUUAUCCGGCAUGAGGACAGACCCCAUACGUGGCGUUGGAAUUUUCGGCGUAUGGGAGAGAUGCUAUGAUUGUUAGGGCACACGUGGCGUAGGUUAUCCGGUGUGCUGACAGACCCCAUAUGUGGCGUUAGAAUUUUUGGCAUAUGGGGAGAUUAUGUGAUUGUUAAGUCCCACGUGGCGUAGGUUAUCCGACGUGAGGACAGACCCUAUACAUGGAAUUAGAAUUUCCGGCGUAUGGGGAGAUACUAUGAUUGUUAGGUCACACGUGGCGUAGGUUAUCUGGCGUGCUGACAGACCCCAUAUGUGGCGUUAGAAUUUUCGGCAUAUGGGGAAAUUAUAUGAUUGUUAGGUCCCACGUGUCGUAUAUUAUCUGGCGUGAGGAUAGACUCCAUACGUGGCGUUGGAAUUUCUGGCGUAUGGGGAGAUGCUAUGAUUGUUAGGUCACAUGUGGCGUAGGUUAUCCGGCGUGCUGACAGACCCCAUAUGUGGCGUUGAAAUUUCCGGCAUAUAAGGAGAUUAUGUGAUUGUUAGGUCUCCAUGGUGUAGGAUUUUCCGGUGUUGAGACAGACCCCAUAUGUGGCGUUGGAAUUUCCGACGUAUGGGGAGAUUAUGUGAUUGUCAGGUCACCCGUGGCGUAGGAUUUUCCGGCGGGAUGACAGACCCCAUACGUGGCGUUGGAAUUUCCGACGUAUAGGGAGAUAAUAUGAUGGUUAGGUCACACGUGGCGUAGGAUUUUUCGGCGUGAUGACAGACCUAUACGGCGUUGGAAUUUCUGGCGUAUGGGGAGAUUAUGUGGUUAUUAGAUAGAUGAAUUAAGGAAUAGUACUGAGCUGGGAACGAAUGAUGUUGAAAAAGAUUUUGUUUGGGAUUUCUAGAAUUGAUUGUAUGUUGAUGGAUUUAGAAAUUUUGUAUGGAAGAACUACGUGUGACUUGAUCCCUCAGUGAGGGUACGUAGGCAUCCUAAGGUUAUUAGGUGCAGCCGCGGACAUAGAUGUGAUUGUGUUAGGAGGUUAAAACCUCGUAAGUUGGAAUUGGAAAAGUUAGAUGAUGUAUGUUGUAUUUAUUAUUCAUAAUUUCAUAUUUGAGUUUAUUAGUUUUCUUGCCGAAGGAAAUAUUUUGGGCUCAAGGGCUUUGUGGGUAGUUUGGUUUCGCUUCGAUUUUUUUUUUAGGGCCGAAGGCCGAGUGUGUGAAUUGCAUGAAAUUAUAUUGUGCUUGCUGCCUGUUGGGAUAUUAAAUGUGUUUUAUGCAUGUUGAAAAUUUUGGAAAAUGAUCAAUUUACAGGAGAGAUUGCCGAAAUUUAGGCAGAAAGUCCCGGUCUUUAAUAAGUGGGCCCGGCAUCGGGGUGAUGUCGGGAAUUUCACAGGAUUCAUCUCGGGUUUUGGGAAAUUCGGGGCAGGUCCUGUCACAGAGAGAGAGAGAGAGAGAGAGAGGGAGAGAGAGAGAUUCAAAAAUCUGAGAAGGAUCGAAUAUUGCAAAAGAAUUAGGGCAAAAGAAUUGAAAUCUUGGGAGAAGCGCGAAUAUUGGAGAGAUUGAAAAGGACAAUGGCGGUGCCGAGAGAGAAAUGAGGUUCUCAACCUGAGUUUUGUAAGUGGCCCUUCUCUUUUGAAAUGGAAUCAAUGAAAGCGAGAGAUUUACAAAAUGUUGUCCAAGUUUAAGCUUCUUUAUUGUCUGCUUGCUUUGUUGGGUCAGGUUCAAAGGUGUUGAGUUUGAAAAGCCUAGAAUAAAAAUUGUUGUGGUCCCCUAUGUUUUGUUGCUAUGUAUGUUUUCCUAUUUACUAGUUGUUUAAAGGUUCUUUUAGUGCUUUAAAAUUGUUAGUUGCGUGUGAAUCUUGCUCCAUGAUUGUUUAUUGGUAGUUUGGUGAUUGUGUUGUCCUUUUUAAACUGUACAUAUGACUAGGCAGUGUUUAAAGUGUGUGUUUUUUUUUAAUGUUCUGUUGUGCAGAUGACAAAGGAAUAGUCACGUUUGAAGUACACCAUGGAGGUAGAAUAGUAAAGUCCUUAAAUCUCAAUGAGUUGUGGUUUUAUGUGGGGGAGAGGGGGGUCGGUUGAUUAUUUGGAUUGGUGUCUUCUGAACCACAUAAAAUUGUUAGAGAUAUAUGAGUAUGCAAAAGAGCUUGGCUACCAUGACCAAGUGGUUGUGACAAGGAUACAAAAUGGUAAAAAAGUGUGUAUAGAUAGUGAUGCUUAGCUACUUGGUGCCUCCUAUAGCUUUGAAAGAGUGAUUGUAAUUUACUUGGAACACCCCAUUAAUGUGGAUGAAACUACAGUGCCUUGGAGGGAGAGGGGUCCUAUUGUAAGAAAUCUAGUUGCUGAAUUUGAACAUGAAGAUGAUAGUAAUGAACAAUCUAGUUAUGAGGAUAUGUAUAAGGAGGAUGAGGAUGAUGAAGAGGCUCUUGAAGAGGCUAUAAAUGUGGAGGAUGAGGGUGAUGACGCUGUAAAUGAGGAGGUUGAGGGUGAUGAAGAUGCUAUCUAUGAAGAGGCUGAGAAUGACAAAAGGACUGAAAAUGAGUAUGAAGACAGUGAAGAACAUGAGAAGACCCUAAAUUUUAUGACAAUGUGUGAGCAAAGUGAAGAUGAACAAUGCUUGCUAGAAAAAGAUGAUAAAGCUUUUGACAAUUAUGUUGACCACAAUACUCCAGAUAUUGUUCCAACUGCAUAUGAAAGAGAAAAGUCGAAUGAUAUGGCUGUAAGUUAUGUUAAUAGCUUGGAUAGUAGCUUAUGUGAUGAGUUUGAUAUGCUUAUGAGAAAGAGAAAGAGGAAACUACCCAAGUUUGAUGAUUUUAGGCCUAACACAGGUUUGACUAACCUAAUCUUUAAGAUUGGUCUAAGAUUUUCCAGUGUCUAUGUAUUUAGGAAAGCAGUGAAACUAUUCAGUAUUUAACAUAAGGAAGAUUAGAUUCUCUAAGAAUGAUAAAGAUAAGGUUAGAGUUGUUAGAGAUGGGAUCAAGAAAAGAAAAUGUCCAUGGUUUGUUUAUGCUUCAGUUGUAAAUGGAAGUAGCAUGGUUCAAAUUAAGAGUUAUGAAGAGGAGCACACUUGUGAGACUAUUGAACACAAUGUCCAUGAUAACUCAUCAUGGUUAGCAGAGAGAUAUUUUACAUAGCUGUCUAGAAUAAUAAAUUGGGAUGUAUGAGCUCUUAAGGAAAGGAUAAAUGAAGAUCUAUUUGUCAUAGCUUCAAGGUCACAAAUAUACAGAGCAAGGCAAAAGGCAACUGCUGCAAGUGAGGGGACUUACACAAAAUAGUUUGAGUCUCUUUGGGAUUAUGUUGAUGAGCUAAAAGGGACAAAUGUGGGAAUUACUAUAAUCAUUAAGUCCAAUUUGGAGGAUGGCAAAUCUGGAUUUCAAAGGAUUUACAUAUGCUUGGCAGCUACAAAGAAAAGGUUUAUUGAUGCUCUAAGGCCAGUUGUUGGUUUGCAUACUUGUCACAUGAAAGGACAACAUGUUGGCCAAUUACUUUAUGUGGUUGGUGUUGAUUCUAACAACGGCAUGUAUCCAAUAACUUAUGCAAUGGCAGAGGCUGAGAAUUAUGAAACUUGGACUUAAUUUUUGGAACUCUUAGUUGUUGAUUUCGGCAUUGAAAAUAGCAAAGGGUAUGUGUUUAUUACAGAUAGACAAAAUGGCUUAAUUGAUGCAGUGGGUGACAUGUUCCCAAACUUUGAGUAUAGGCACUGUCUUAAAUAUCUGUAUGCCAAUUUUAUACUUGCUGCCACAGAGGAUUAGUUCUAAAAAAACAUAUUGAGAUUGUUGCAAAAAGUACAACCAUACCUUGGUUUCAAGCAGAGAUGAAAAAUCUCCAAGAUUUGUGAGGACCAUCUUUUGAUUGGUUGGUGAGGCUUGAUCCAAUGCAGUGGUGUAGAUCUCACUUCAAAACACACUCAAAAUGUGACAUUCUCUUGAAUAACAUGUGUAAGGCAUUCAACAAGUCUAUCCUUAAUGCUAGAAGCAAGCUUAUUAUAACAAUGCUUGAGAGGGUCAGGUAUUACAUCAUGUUGUUGAUGGCAAGUAGAAGAGAAGCUAUGGACAAAUGGGCUCAUGAUGUGAGGCCAAGAGUUUUUGCAACUCUUGAGAAGCUUAAGAAGCAGUCAGCCUGAUGCAUUCCAAGGCUUGCUCGGGAGGGAAAAUAUGAGAUUAAGUGGAGAAAAUAUGAGGUUAAGUGUUUUGGAGGCACUUAGGUGGUAGUUGAUUUGAGAAACAAAAGUUGUUCAUGUAGGCAAUGAGAUUUAACUGGGAUCCUAGGUAAGCAUGCUUGUGUUACCAUUUGGUAGUUAAAUGACAAUCAUAUCAUCCGUGUACAUGAUUAUUACCAACAAAAAAAAAAAGCCUUUAUAACAACUUACAAACCCAUGGUUUAUCCAAUGGCAAGUCAAGACUUGUGGGCUAAAAUGUAACAACCCGAUCCUAAAUCAAUUUUUAGUUAUUAAUUUAUUCUGAGAAAAGACCAUUUUGCCCGUAGAAUAUUUUAGUAGUAUAAAAGUUGACUUUUUCACCGAGAAUGAAUGUAGAAAUUUUGAUCAUACUGUUGUGUAGAUCACGUUGAAACGAGUCUGUAGACACGUAGUGGGCUCAAAUCGAAGUUAUAACAAGGAAAAUACGAUUAAAAUACUUAUAGGGGCAAAAUCAUAAUUUUUAGAAACUGGUUUUAAAGACCAUAUUGUUAUUUUCCUUCUCUCUCUCUCUCUCCUCCUCCCCCCCCGACAACCCUCUCCUCUAUAACCACCACCAUAUGAACGAACCUGCCCGGUCUCGCUGUCACACCCCAGCCUGCACCCACUGUCAGCCGCCGCCAAACAACCAGAACCACCGCGAAAACGAGCUGGUUUUCACUCUAAUUUUUCCAGCUUCAUUCUCCGUCCUCCGGUCACCAUUUUCGACAAUCAAGGUACUCGGGCACCAUCAAACCCGCGGGAAGGACCUUCAAAGGGUCAAGCUAGCUCGGACGCCCAGUGAGUGGACUUUUGUUUUAUAAAUGAUUUUAUGCAAUUAAGUUUCAUUAUUUGGUCUUGAAUAAGUAUUAUUGACUAUGGCUUUCCAAGCAUGAUUAAUUGGAUUUAAAUAUUUUUAUUUAUUUAUUUAUUUAUAUAUUGCCAUAUUUGAAAUAAAAAGGGCUUGGAAAGUAAGAGUUGAGAUGAUUAUCGGUUUGAAUGGUUCGAUGAGGAAUAAAACUAUAGUUUUUAAGAAAGGCAUGUAUUUUAUUUUAAAAACCACCAUAGGUACCCAAGGUUGCCUUCAGAUUAAAUGUUGCCUUCAGAAUGAAUGUUGCCUACGGAAUAAAUUGUUGCCUUCGGAUAUGACGACAUCCACGGACAUCCUAGUUGUCUUCGGUUGAGUCAGCGCGCGUUUGACAAUGCCACACGAGUUUCGGGGACGCCCGGACUAUUUGGAGCGAGGAAUACGAAUCAGGUUGACUAAAUGUCCCUUAAAUCCUGUGAGGAUUGCGGCUCGAGUUACUUAGUGUUCCCGAGGCCUGCCAAGACGUGUCGCUUAGGUGGCAUGAGGAAUUGACGGAAAAUAAAGGAAUUGACGAAUAUAAUAAGGGUACACCUAGGUGGUAGGGAAAUCUUUAUUUUCAAAGUUUGAACUAAUGUGAGAAUUUUGUAAAUGUGUGAAUUACUAUAUGAAUAAAAAUAUUCGUGCCUGUUUUCAGUACGUGUAUGUAAUUUAGUUUUCUAACUGUUUUUACGGAGGGGUUAGUAUGUUCAUAUGUUAUUUUCCAAACCUUUAUUUUUGUCCACUCACAUUUUUCAAUGUUUUGCGCCCCCAGGCAGUAGUAGUGCACCAGAGCGCCACCACAGGGCAAACACCACACUCCACUCCACCUUUUCUUUAUGUAGGAUUUCUUCUGUAAUCAAAUUGAUCUGUUGUAAAUUUCUGAACCAGUUGCUCUGAUAUUGCCCUAGGAUUACUGUAUGGCAUGAGGCCAUUUAUUUGUGGCUGAAUUGUUUGGAUAUAAACAGAUGCAUGCUGAACAGUUGGGUUAUAUAUAUGCUUGUUGAUAGGUGGAAAAUUUUGGGAAUUAGCAAAUUAGAGGGGAGACUCUGCCGAAUUUUUGGCAGAAGUCAAACUUGUAGAAACUUUGGUUUCUGGUUAGAAGGGCAAUUUAGUCAUUUGUGCCCGGCACCCUCCAGGUCUCAGACACGCACAGGGUUCGGCUCGGAUUCCAAAGUGGAAUUUAGGUUGGGUCUUGUCAUAAAAUAAAUUUCCCAUCUUUGCUACCACCUAUGUAUCACAAGCAAUUAGAGAAGCCAUAGAAAAGCCGGGUAAGGUCAGCCGCUGAACCACCUCCAAGCUCUAAUCCUAAAGACAAACACUUGCGAAGGUAUAAUUUGGAAACCAAGUGUUGCGUAUAUAAUCAAGCGGGCCAUAAUAAGAGGAAAUGUGCAAGGACAAAUGAUGCAGGGAGUAGCAGUCAGGUAUAAUCAAAGCAUCUGAUUUUAAAAGUUUUGUAUGUUUAGCAUUAUGAUAUGGAUUCAUAUGUGAUGUUUGUAGGUCAGGUACCAUCACAAAGGCAAAAGAAGAGAGCACCUCAAGGCAACACAUCAACUCAUAGAGUUAUAAGACAAUCAAGGCAGAAACAAGCAUCAUCUUCUACACAAUCAAGGCAAAAAUAAUUAGUAAGUUGAGUUUAUUUUAUUUAAGUAGCAUUAUGGAACUCUUCAGUUUUUUAUUUUAGUAAAUGCUCAUGUUAAUCUAACUCUGCCACAAUUUUCAGAUCAUAUCAAAGGCUAAAAAAAGGAUCAAUCAUCACAAAGCAUCUUCUCAGUCUAACCAAGGUCCUCAACCAUCUCACUAACCAGCUCAACCAUCUCAAGCUUCUCGGUUUGAAGAAGCAUCUCAGUUUAAAUAAGCAUCUCAAGCUUCUCAGUUUGACGACCAUCUUAGUUUGAACAACCAUCUUAGUCUUAAGAACCAAAUUGGUCUCAGCCUCAAGCAUCUCAACCUCCACAAGCUUCUAAAUAAAGGAAAGUUAGGUUUAAGGAGGUUUAAGUCUCAAGCUAAGAGGAAAGCAUUCUUGGCCAAGUUUGAGCCAUGAAGAUAUUGAAAAAACUCUGCUCAAUUUUGGUUAGCACAUGUGUUUUGGGUCAGAAAAAGCAUAUGAAUGUGUUUUUAUGGGUUGAAUGUUGGUUUUAUGUUUUGUUGUGUCUUGGUGAACAUAUGUGUUAUUGGGUAGAAACUAUUUGUUUGGUAUUUUGUUGUCUAUUUUAUUUUUGGAUACAAACUGUUUGGCAUUGCCAUGGGUAUCACAGGUGCAUAUUCAGUCUUUUGUAUUUUGUUUUGGCAUUGCCAUGGAUUGAAAAUGUACAAUUUAUGUACAAGACUAUGUACAAGUUAUGUACAAGUUAUUAAUCAAUGGUAGUUCAUAAGUUCCGAAAGGUUUCAAGAAUUCUUGGUGCAUACAAAAGUGUUUAGUCUUAACCAUUACAAAAGGGCUUUGAAACCAUUACAUUUGCAAAAUGCUUCAACAAUUACAUAAGCCUCUCAUCUCACUAAAUUGUCAUUCUACUAGUACAUUACAUUACACUACAUUACCUAACUUUCAAACAUACCACAUUGCCUAACUUUCAAACAUAUCACAUUGCCUAACUUACAUUACAUAACAUUCCCAAACCAAACCAUAAACACAAAGGCCCAAGAAAUAAAUAGAGCAAUCCAUAACUUCUUCUCUCUUACUCUCGCACGCCCAAUCUGAUCUUCAACCUCUCUCAUUGUCCUCAGCAACCAAGCCAUCAGAGCUCUCUCACGGGGAGGCAUUUCAAUAUCAAGCCAUACAAAAAACCUACAAAAGUUUUCCCCCUUUGCAUUCAAACAAAAGUUCCAUCACAUUCUCACAAUUUAUUGUCAAAAUUUUGAUAAAAUAGCAAAUUCAAAACCUACCUCUAACUUUGGACACACAAAACAAAAAAUCUCCGAAGUGGGUUAGACUAUAUCCAAGAAAUCUGCAGCCGAGCAAGCCUCCCACAAUAGCAAUAAGGUGCAGCAACGACCAACUCUUCUCCUCAUCUUCACACCUUUUAAUCAAACAAAGAUGGAGAAAUUUUUCUUUGCGUAUAAAACCUUAAAUCCUCGAAAUGGUGGUAAGUAAUUUUUCUGUGUUUAGAAACCAUUUUAUCAAAGAAGAAGAAAGUGGAUUGUUCACUGGGGUCCAUUUGACCCCUUGAGCUGCUUCCAUUUAGAUUUUAAAAGCCUAUGGGGUCCAUUGUGCCACCUAGGAUGCUGACUAUGCUCAACAAUUGGCCAUCGUAGGUACUUUUACCAUAAUGACUCUGCCACGUCAUCAUUUUUUAUGGUGUUUUGAAUGGCGUUAAUGAUGUGGGGUAAAGUGGAACACAAAACCACAGUCAAGGGGAUUAAGUGUGCCAUUGUAACUUUGGGGGAGUAAAGUGAUAUUUGACCGAAAUUUCAAGGGGUACUAUAGUAAAUAAGCCUAUAAUAUAUUUUGUAACUAAAAAUAAAUACAUCCCUUAUUGGGCCAGGUUCAUAGAUGAGGAUAACAAUAUUAUCAAUGACUCGUCUCUGAUCAGAUAUUUUAAAAAAUCAAGAAUCCUCGUACCUACCCCGUUAGGGCCGGGGACCCGACCCGAAGGGGAUUUUUGCAAUCCCACCUAACUGAGACCUAUUGACUAGCACAAUCAUCUUCUCUUUCCUAUUUCUCCGCGUUCGAAAAUUCUAUAAUCUACAACCAUAGCAACUAGGGUUAUUAAAUAUAUAUAUAUAUAUAUAUAUAUUCAACUUACUGAUUUCCAUAAAAAUUAAAUGACAGAUCUGUCUCUUUGAAAUAUUACUAAAGGGACUGUUUAAAAGCUACUCAGUCACGUUGGUAAACAUCAUUUGUAGCUAAGCAGCAUCAAAUUGAAUUGAGGUGUGCCUGCCAAUUAUCUGAAUAACAUCUGUGUUUUAAGACCAAAAGAAAACACAAUCAGAACCAAAAAAUAAAAUAAAAAACCCACCAGCUAAAUUGUCUAAAUUGUCACCAUCAAUGUUAAUAAGGAGAUGAAUUUCAUUCUCUUUGUCUAAAUUAUAUAGCAUAAGCAUUGAACAUUUCCAUUGGUUAAAUACCACCUAAUUUUAUAAAAAAAUAUAAUUGUCUCCUAACUACUCUUUCUUUUUGGUACAACUCCUAAUACCUGGUCUUUCAUCAUCAUAGACAUAUAAAUAUAUUCUUCCUUACCUAACCUUGUCUUAUAAUUAAACAACCCUAAUAACCCUUUACAAAAGGUAACUUAUUUUAUUGAAACACCAAACAGUGGAGCUGAGUCAAAGCUCUUCCAAAUGCUAUCACAAUUGAUUUUUUAUUUUAUUUUUCUGGUGCUAACAUAUAUAUAGGAAAUUUUCUUGUUUCAAUGGUUUAUAGAAAAUUAAUAUCAAAUUUUGGUCAACAUAUAUAUAUAUAUACACCCCCUAGUUAAACUUAAAGGUGAGAUUUUGUCAAAUACCAAGUCUUCACUUGCUUCUAAAUACUACAAUAUUCAAAUCUUUACCUGCUCAAAGGAAAAUCAUAUCCAAGAGUACAAGACCAGUUCAUUCUCUGCAAUCUAUAAAUAGACUUGUAACCCAUGAAGGAUUUUCAUCCCACCCUCAAACCAAAACUCUCUACACACAAAGAAAAAACAGUAAAAGAAAGUUUUGAGGCAACCUAGCUCUAAUUAAGCCAACUGCAAUGAAAGGUGUUCAUUUCCUCAUAAGCACUCUUGCCAUAUUGGCAUCUGCAACCUUCCUUGUCUCUGCAUCUGACCCCAGUCCUCUUCAGGACUUCUGUGUAGCACUCAAUGACACCAAAUCUGCUGGUAUGCAUUAAUUACAUUCAUUAUAUUCUGCCCUGCAAUUAUUUCCACAUGAAUUAUUUUCUUCCUAAGGCAUUAGGAAUAUUAUGAAGAUUGUUUUUCUGUUAACUAUAUGCAUUUGCACGGCUUCUCAUGCAUGAACAAUCUAU
Molecule: long non-coding RNA, 24081 nt
Filed under: Prunus persica (peach)
Lineage: Eukaryota; Viridiplantae; Streptophyta; Magnoliopsida; Rosales; Rosaceae
Description: long non-coding RNA (PPER_LNC007679)
Source: RNAcentral